UAAACACGGAACUAGAAACUAGUCUCGGAAAAAGACUUGCUAAGAAUACGCCUGGAAGAGCAUCGUCUCAGUCGGCUACUACAUCACGACUAUCAGGAUGCCAGCUCUCACCUGACCCUGUCGUCUCACCUCCCUACCUUGAGGUACCAGCCAUCCCUUGCCGCUCCAUCUUCAUGACCAGCGUGGAGACCAGGUGGCGGACUUUCGAGAACUAUGAGGACUUUCAGAAUGGUCUUAUAACAAGCGAGGAGGUUAAAAGGCUUGCAUCCGAUGGGUACUUCUACGUUCGGGGAAGAAUUGAAUGCUUCUGCUGUGGGUUGAGGCAAGAUUUGCCCCAUGAUGCCAACUGCCUAAGAAAAUUAAUGAUCCUUAAUCAUGCCAGACCAGAGGAACCCAUGGAUACCUGAAAGUCUCACAGGGCGAGAUAACCAAGCAUGUCCACCACAGUCAUCCUAGAAUGUCUCUUUCAUCGUUUGUCGGAUGUGUGUCUGAAAAAAAAAAUCCGACAAAAUGCCACUGAUACCUUUUCACACGACCAGUCAUGGAUUAUUUAUCUUCAAAGUUCCUGCUUGUGCUUAAAAACGGAAAAACUGAAGUUGACACACAUCUGUGUUAGCAAACACACAGCAUUCUUUGUGCACAUGCCAUCCACAGAAAAAUAUUUUGUGGAAACACUUUUGAGUUAACAUUACAAAUGAUAUUGAAAUAUAUAAUAUAUGAAUAAAUGAUUCUUAAAUAUGA
Molecule: long non-coding RNA, 741 nt
Organism: Pomacea canaliculata
Lineage: Eukaryota; Metazoa; Mollusca; Gastropoda; Architaenioglossa; Ampullariidae
Exons: 2
Source: RefSeq, a predicted model, not a curated record